RNA transcript from Malus domestica (apple), 1449 nucleotides. It is a transcript of the gene named putative methyltransferase At1g22800, mitochondrial, with no coding region annotated. NCBI's taxonomy places the organism in Eukaryota, Viridiplantae, Streptophyta, Magnoliopsida, Rosales, Rosaceae. The record is from RefSeq and is a predicted model, not a curated record.
CACAGUCCGAUGAUCAUUUCAAAAUAAUGAACGUUGUAAUCCGUCCGAAGCACUUCGGUGAUAAUUGAGGGGGUAGAAACGGACAUUGCAUUUGAUACAAACAAAAAGGUGGAGUGGAGUUCAAAAAAUGAGAGGCUUGUACCGGAGGAGCUCGCUAUGGAGGACAAGAAGAGAAGCUCCGCACUCACUCUUCUUCUUCUCAAAUGCUCUGUGUACCGACGCCAACAUUGAUGGGGUUCAAAGCUCCAGGAUCAAGGUCUUCGAUCGCCACUUCAGACGCAAACAGCUUGAUCGAGCUGCUUGGUUGAUGCGUUCCAAGGAUUCUUUUGUUGAUACUGUGGCUGAGAAUCUAUUGGAUCGUUUGGAGGACUGCAAGAAAACAUUUCCAGCGGCAUUAUGUUUAGGAGGUCAAUUGGAAGCUGUCAGGCGCUUGUUACGUGGUCGUGGUGCCAUUGAAAAGCUCAUUAUGAUGUCUGCAUCAUCUGACAUGGUAGAACUGUGUAGAAAUGCUGAGCGUGAGUUACAAACUGAAAACAUUGAAACAUCCUUUAUGGUUGGUGACGAAGAGUUUUUGCCCAUUAAGGAAAAUUCUGUGGAUCUGGUAUUAAGCUGCUUGGGACUUCACUGGACAAAUGAUCUUCCAGGAGCCAUGAUACAGUGCAGAUUGGCAUUGAAGCCAGAUGGCCUAUUUUUAGCAGCGAUUCUGGGUGGAGAAACCUUAAAAGAGCUGAGAAUAGCGUGCACCGUGGCACAAAUGGAGCGUGAAGGAGGCAUCAGUCCACGAAUAUCACCUUUGGCGCAAGUGCGGGAUGCAGGCAAUCUUUUGACCAGGGCAGGCUUUACCCUUCCAGGUGUUGAUGUGGACGAAUUUGUAGUAAGAUAUCCAAGUGGUGAGACUUUAUGGCUAAUGCUUCUUGGACGUUCCAUGUCUCACUCUGGAUCUCAUAGAACAUUUGCGUGCAAUGGGUGAAACCAAUGCUCUGCUACAAAGGAACACUAUUUUAAAGAGAGAAAUGGCCCUGGCCACCGCAGCAAUUUAUGAUUCAAUGUUUGCAGCAGAAGAUGGCACCAUCCCAGCAACCUUCCAGGUGAUUUAUAUGACAGGGUGGAGGGACCAUCCAUCUCAGCAGAGGGCAAAGAGGAGGGGGUCGGCAACUGUAUCUUUUCAGGACAUCCAGAAGCAAUUUGGAAGUGAGGAUUGAUCUCUUUAUGUGCUCACGUUUUCUAAGCAAAUGAAGGUCGACUGAGAGGAGAAAGUUGUACGACCAAAAUGUGGGGUUCGGUCAAUCAGAAUAUUGGGCGAUUGUUUUAUGAGAGUUUUAACGAAACACUUCCGUUACUGUUCAUCUAUAACGAAAAUGAUAUUUUUACCCUAAAAAGUCACUUCCGGUACUAUUCUCUUACAAUACUUUUUUGUCAUUUUGAUUAAAACUCAAAGUUUUCAACUCA